GACGAACGCUGGCGGCGUGCUUAACACAUGCAAGUCGAACGGAAAGGCCCUGCUUUUGUGGGGUGCUCGAGUGGCGAACGGGUGAGUAACACGUGAGUAACCUGCCCUUGACUUUGGGAUAACUUCAGGAAACUGGGGCUAAUACCGGAGAGGAGCUCCUGCUGCAGGGGGGGGGUUGGAAAGUUUCGGCGGUUGGGGAUGGACUCGCGGCUUAUCAGCUUGUUGGUGGGGUAGUGGCUUACCAAGGCUUUGACGGGUAGCCGGCCUGAGAGGGUGACCGGCCACAUUGGGACUGAGAUACGGCCCAGACUCCUACAGGAGGCAGCAGUGGGGAAUAUUGCACAAUGGGCGGAAGCCUGAUGCAGAAACGCCGCGUGCGGGAUGACGGCCUUCGGGUUGUAAACCGCUUUCGCCUGUGACGAAGCGUGAGUGACGGUAAUGGGUAAAGAAGCACCGGCUAACUACGUG
Molecule: ribosomal RNA, 468 nt
Filed under: uncultured bacterium
Lineage: Bacteria
Description: partial 16S ribosomal RNA
Rfam family: Bacterial small subunit ribosomal RNA
Source: RNAcentral